UCAAAUUUGAGCCUACAUCAAAACUUUCACAGGAAAAUGUUGUUUUGAUGCCCAAAUAUCUUCAAAUCGAUCAUCUUGACAUCGAUAUGCAUGAACAUAAGAAAAAAUGGAUUUAAAGUUUUGGAAAUAGUGUAUUUUGUAACACAUUUUUGGACUGUCAAUUUUCAAUUUUUUCAAGAUUUCAUAGAUCCGUUGAUCUAUACUAUUCUUAAAGCUUUAAAAUUUAUAAAUAAAUAUGAAAAUAUAUUUCAAUGCUAUCACAAAAAUUUCCAAUAUUAAAACUACAUUUCUCGACUUUAUUUGAAGGUAGGCUCUAAUUUGAUUGUUUAGAGCCUAGGCUCUAUACAAACUGCACCCAAUUUUAAAACUGUUCAUUUUAAAAUGGUGGGCCUGUUAUUUUGCAAUGCCUCCCCUGAAGCACAUAAAGAGAGGGACAUUUUAGAGAGAAAAAAGCCUUGGAAUAAAU
RNAcentral lists this long non-coding RNA (466 nucleotides) under Amborella trichopoda. RNAcentral's name for it is "long non-coding RNA (ATRI_LNC001755)". Lineage: Eukaryota; Viridiplantae; Streptophyta; Magnoliopsida; Amborellales; Amborellaceae. The record is from RNAcentral.